This 734-nucleotide long non-coding RNA is filed under the name Sparus aurata (gilthead seabream). RNAcentral's name for it is "lncRNA (ENSSAUG00010021816.1)". The record is from RNAcentral. Lineage: Eukaryota; Metazoa; Chordata; Actinopteri; Spariformes; Sparidae.
UACCCUACGAUAAAGUGCUAACAAAUGUAUUACUACGUGUGUGUGUGUGUGUGUAUUUACAUUAAGAGGAAACGUCACUUAUUUUCCAGGGAGUUUCAGGUGUCCGUGGAGAGCAAGGGCCACAAGGGGACCCUGGACUGCGGGGCGAUGCUGUGAGUAAAGCUUUUUUAGUAGCCUUGCACAGAGCAUGUAUCACCCUGAGAGAACUAAUUAUGUUUUCCUUAAUAUAACUAUCCGCUAUUCUUUACAAACAGGGGUUUCCUGGUCAUUCAGGGGCUCCCGGGCCAAAGGGUCAAGAAGGCGUCGGAGGCAAGCCAGGACCGCGUGGGCUCAAGGGGAGACCAGGGCCAGUGGGCCUACCGGGGCCACCAGGUCGGAUUAAGGAGUUUUUGUCUGGGGGACAUACAUUAAAGGGUGGAAAAGGAGAUAGGGGAGCUGCUGGGGGAAAAGGCUGCAAGGGGGAACCAGGAGACCCUGGUUAUGCCUAUCUCACCAAAGGAGCAAAGGGAGACAAAGGACAGGAGGGUCCAGAAGGAAAGCUGGGGAAGGAUGGUGAUCCUGGAAUACAUGGAUUUAGGGUACUGUUCUACUAUACUCUAAGUGUAUAUCAAGUGUGUCAUCAUAUUAUUACUACGUCUUUGUGGCCUUUGAAUACAAUAAGGUUUUCUUUAGGGAAGGCCCGGCCUCAGAGGCGACCCAGGAUACCCAGGGACACCAGGAGGGCAGGUCAGUGA